UUUUCCUGUUUUUGUAAAACAAAAUUGCGUUUUUUGUUUGCAGGAGGAUCAUAGGCCCGCAGUUGUAGAAGACGAUGACUCCUAUUAUGUUGAGGAUUUAGAUGAUGAUUAUCGUGAUGGUGAUCAAGUGGAAGACCGGACUUAGUGGCGUCGACCUGAACUCAGUUUUUUGUCAAACCAACUCCCGUGCCUCACUGUGAGGUUCCAAACGGGUCAAGCUUUAAGACUUCACGAGUGGUUUUGAAUACACCAUUUUGAAUUUUGAUCAAGUGUAUGAAUGUUUUGGUUUAAGACUGGUUUUGUUAUUGGGUUUAAUCUCGUAAUUAUGUUAUGUUUUUGUACUUAAGCAUGACAUUGACUUAUGUAUAUAUAAGUAUAAUGAUUGGACUCAUGUGUAUAUGUAUACACAUAAAGGCUUGUUUUUGUUCA
Camellia sinensis is the source of this 429-nucleotide non-coding RNA. NCBI's taxonomy places the organism in Eukaryota, Viridiplantae, Streptophyta, Magnoliopsida, Ericales, Theaceae. The record is from RefSeq and is a predicted model, not a curated record.